This 64-nucleotide transfer RNA is filed under the name Staphylococcus aureus. Its description in RNAcentral is "tRNA-Thr". The stretch from base 1 to 55 matches the Rfam family "tRNA", at positions 10 to 63 of the family's 71-position model. From Rfam's summary of the family: Transfer RNA (tRNA) molecules are approximately 80 nucleotides in length. Their secondary structure includes four short double-helical elements and three loops (D, anti-codon, and T loops). Further hydrogen bonds mediate the characteristic L-shaped molecular structure. tRNAs have two regions of fundamental functional importance: the anti-codon, which is responsible for specific mRNA codon recognition, and the 3' end, to which the tRNAs corresponding amino acid is attached (by aminoacyl-tRNA synthetases). tRNAs cope with the degeneracy of the genetic code in two manners: having more than one tRNA (with a specific anti-codon) for a particular amino acid; and 'wobble' base-pairing, i.e. permitting non-standard base-pairing at the 3rd anti-codon position. Lineage: Bacteria; Bacillati; Bacillota; Bacilli; Caryophanales; Staphylococcaceae. The record is from RNAcentral.
GCUCAAUUGGUAGAGCAACUGACUUGUAAUCAGUAGGUUGGGGGUUCAAUCCAUUGCUCUACCA